ACAAGGUUCUCCGUUGGUGAACCAGCGGAGGGAUCAUU
This 38-nucleotide ribosomal RNA is filed under the name Fusicoccum quercus. RNAcentral's name for it is "partial 18S ribosomal RNA". The record is from RNAcentral. Lineage: Eukaryota; Fungi; Ascomycota; Dothideomycetes; Botryosphaeriales; Botryosphaeriaceae.